GAGCCAGGGAAGGGGAGAAAAAAAGCAUUCAGAAAGAAUUCACCUUUUGCAACCCAUUUCUGGACAACUUUAUUUAAUACCCAAAUUCAUUCUACUAUCAAAUCAUCUUACCUAAUUAUUUGUCUUUUAUGACUGCUUUUCAUCAACUGCUUUUCUGUUGCUGCCUCAUGUACCAGAUUUGAGCAAAAUGCACUUUCUGUGCUGCCCCCUUUUCUAAGUAGGACACUGAACAUGGGCAGCUGCUGCUGCGCCUAGCAUUGUGGGAAGGAGAGAUUUAGUCCAGACUUCCACUGGAAAGUUCUAUUUAAUUUAUACAGUACUGUAGAUUAGUAGAAUUUACAUGUGUGUAUGGACUUUAUACUGGCAUCAGUGUAAGCAGGUACGUUACUUCAACUUAUUAUCUCAGUCUCACUGUCAGCAUCUGAAUAGUCUGGAUACUUGUAGGAUAUAUUUAUUUGUAUCUUCAUAAUCCCCAGUCAGGGGGACAGUCUCUCCACAGAGUACUAACUCCGUAAAGAGCAUUCAGAUGCUACAGUUGUGAGCACUUAAGAAAUGCAAGUGCAUUCAUUGAUUUAUGUAGCACCUAUUACCAUUGGAUCUAAAUCUGCUAUUUACAAAGCUGUAGUACAUCAGUUAAGUGAAAAUAUGGAAAAUUUAAAACUAAACAAAUUAAAUAUGAUGUGUGUCAUGCCUAGAAAACCAUUAAGGCCACUACUUGGUUAACAUACUCUUGCUUUUUGUUGCUUUGUCACUUCACUGAGGCUUCCUUGAAGUGACUAAACAAACAACUGCAGACAUCCAGAAUUGACCUAGGCUAUCACCCUGUCAAGCCUUUAUCAAGUUGCUUAGUAAGGAACCCAGAUUCAAGGGAGAGAGUUUGGGGUCCCAGUCAUCGUUAGCUAAAUCAGAGCUCUAGCAUUCAGGACAUCCUGUAAGCUUGUGACACUGGGGGGCAAAGAUUCUAGCAAUGAAUGAAUGGAUCACAUGGGUGAAGGGAAAGGGCAGAAGGUGACAAGUGAAGCAGCAGAGAACUGGAGCGGUAACUGCUAACUGGAUGGGGGGACAGGGAAGUUAAAGAGCAAUUAAUUGAAGAGGAUGAGGACUGUGAAGGGCAGCAGCAAAAAUGUGAUAGCAUCACAUCAGAGAAGUCAGAUUCAGAGAAAUGGCACAAUGAAGGGAUUUGGGUCCACCUCCGUUUAGAACUCCAUAUCAUAGGAUUCUUACUUCAG
Dermochelys coriacea (leatherback sea turtle) is the source of this 1229-nucleotide long non-coding RNA. RefSeq lists it as uncharacterized. NCBI's taxonomy places the organism in Eukaryota, Metazoa, Chordata, Testudines, Dermochelyidae. The transcript is spliced from 4 exons. The record is from RefSeq and is a predicted model, not a curated record.